UGGAGCUGCUAUUGCCUAAGCUGAGUCUUUGACAAUAAGAAGAAUAUGGCAGGCAAGGGCAAGGAAGGGAGGGAGAGGGUAUUCCAAGUGGAAGGGAGAAUAGAAGCCAAGCCAUGAGACGUGUAAUAAAAUUAAGAGAGUGAGUGCUGGAUCCAAUUACCUGGGUUGAAAUUCUAUGACUGUCACUUACUAGCUACACAAGUUUUGGCAAGUUACAUAUCCUCUUUUCAACUCAGUUUCCUUGUGUAUAAAUGAGGAAAAGGGACAACAACUACCACAUAGGGUUAUUAUGAGGAGUACAUGAUACAACACUUGUGCAGAGAUUAGCAUAGUGUCUAGUACAUGGUAAACACUCACUGAAUAAUACUGAUGAUGACUGUGAUGAUGGCAAUUGCCAGUGUUUUGAUGUUACUGAAGAUGUAGUAGAACACAAGGCAUAGUGAGCAAUGAGACCAGAGAUAUAGGUGUUGAUUUAAAAUAAUCUUAUUGAUUUUUAUUCUACAGGACAAUGGGGAUUUUUAAAAGGGUUUUCAGCAUGGAAUAACAUGAUUAGAUCUGCAAAUCAGAUGGAUUCUUCAGGGUUAUAUGUCAUGAACUGAUUUGAGGAGGAAAAGACUAGAGUCAGGAAGUCCUGUUAGUGAUGUUACAGUAGUUCAGGUGAGAGAUGAUAAGUGCCUGCCUAACCCAGGGACAUCACUGUAGGGAUUAAAAGGAAGAGGCAUAUUUGAGGACUUUAGGUGGUAAAUGUGACAGGAGCUGGUGAAAGAGAAGAAAGAGCUGAGGACACUCCCAGGGCUUCUAGUCUGGGAGAUUGGAUGAAGAGUGAUCCAUCCACUGAGAUGGGGAGCAUAGAAAAGGAGCUUGUGUAGGAACCACAAAGUUAAGGUCAUUUGGAAGAGCUGGAUGGGAAGAAUCUGUGGUUAGCCAGCUUGGACAGGUCCAGUAGACUUAUUUACAUAACAGGGAGGCCUAUGGGAAGGUCUAGAAAUUCAGAUUCAGACGUAGCCAGCAUAAUGGUGGUUAUAGAACCUACGAGGGUGGAUGAGAUUGCCCAGGGAAAGAAUGCAGGGUAAGAAAGGAAGAGGAUCAAGGACAAAAUCCAGGGAAACACCACUAUUAAAGGAAGAGGAAGAAGCCUAUAAAGCCAAGAAGGAGUGAUCAGAGCAAUUGGUGGGGAAGCAAGAGAAGACAGUGUGAUGGACAUGAAAAGAGUGGAGAGUAUGAAGAAGAAAGAAGAGAUCAGCUAACUGGAGUGCCAUAUGGAAGUCCUCCAAAGCAGGACAGAGAGGAACCAACUGAUUGGUAAAUAGGAGGUCAAGAAUGGGAGGAAGGAAUGUGAGAUGAGGAAGUGGAGACAGAGAGUGCUGACUCUUUGAGAUAUGUUUUAAGAGAAGAAGAAAGAAAAGUAGCUAGAGCAAGGAAGGGAAAACAGAGUUAGGGGGAGCUUCAUUUAUUCUCCCUGCAAGUGGGAGAGAUUGAAGAAAAUUUGUAUCUAAUAGAAAAGAAUUUACAGAGAAGUUGUGAAGGCUAGAGAAAAAGGUAUUUGAUGGAUCACAGUCCACAAGGAGAUAGGUGGACACGAUACCAAGAGUUCAAGAGAAAAGAGGUUGGUCUGGAAUGGCAUAGAUCCAAAACAAGCAAACAAAACCACCGUCUUUUCCAUCUUCUGUGAGACUCUAGGCAAGGUGAGUGGAUAAAGUUCUUUGUGGGAGCGGGGGCAAGCUUAAAGUUUGCAUAUAACACUCUUAGGUUGUUUAAAAGACUGGAGAAGUGGAGGCCAUAUGCUAUAAGUGAGGGGUACAGGAGAUUAUUAAACCUUUCUUGAGAGUUGCAAAGAAGUGGAAUUUCUACUAAAGGGAUGUUGGGCAAGGACAAGAGAAAGACAGAGCCUGAUUCCUGAAGCUCAGUUGAGGAAGACCAUGAAUCUGUGGCAGCGGCCAUCUGAACUGCUGGGAAAUGUUUUUCCUCCCUCAUUUAAUGAGUUGAGUAGAGGAGGAGAAAGGCAGGUUGUGGUAUUUACUCAGGGUUGGAGUUUUGCCACUGAGGCACAGUGAAAGGCCAGGGAUGCAAGGCCACUGGGGGUUCUGAUAAUAGUAGCAAGCCCCAUGCCUGAAAACAGGCUCAGAAAGCUAACAGUAGUUCUUCUGUCUUCUUGUUUAUCACGAUGAAGCUCAAGGGAAAGAAGUGACCUCAGAAGCAAUUCCGUGUAUCUUAUUUGACAGAUUAGAUCCCAUUUUCAUUUUUGUUCCAAUUCACAAUCAUGAAAAACAAUAUAUUUAACUUCAAAUGUCUCCUUGUCCUUGUCCUGGUGUGAUACAUCAGCUUCAGCUUUUGGAAACUCCAGAAUCAUUGGAUGAUCUCCCACAACAAUCAGAGGUUUCCCCAGUGACCUGGGGGAUAUCAUGGUGUUUAUGAACUUUUAGCAAGAGAUGGGGGAACAUUUACCCGGAUCUGCUUGAGGGGAGGCCAUCCAGCUCUAGAUAGAAAAGACCAAAGAAAGAACAUGAAGUCACUUAAGCAAGCAUUUGGAACAUGUGAUAGAAAAUGAACCCAGUUAUCCUUCUCUCCCCAUAAAAUAAGAAUAUGGCAAGAGAGGUAAAGAGAUUAUUAUUAUUAUUAUUAUUAUCAUUAUUUUAGAGAGAGAGAGUGUGUGAGCAGGGUUAGGGCAGAGGGAGGGAACUGUGGAGCCCAACAAGGGGGGCUCAAUCUCAUGACCCUGAGAUCAUGACCUGAGCCAAAACCAAGAGUCUGAUGUUUAACCAACUGAGCCACCCAGUUGCCCCUAGAGAUUAUUUUUAAAACAAAUAAACAGGGCUAUGAUCUAAUGGAAGUCAAUUGUUUGCAUGUAAAAAUUAAGAACAUAGUGAAUGAGGUUGUGGUGCUAUCUUAAUUGAAUCCGGGCCAUCUUUUUUGGUUCUUGUUGAUGGUGGCAAUGCAAGAGCAAUAAUUAUUUCCUCUCCCUGGUUUCACACCACUCCUCAGUGGAGUGGAUAGAGAAAGAGCCCGGACCACUGUGGAUGUCUCACAGUCAGUUCCUUGGGGACCAAGAUGCUCUGAACAUGUGCAUUCUGACUCAUCUGGAGGAUAUUUGGAAAGGCCUUCCAUACUCAUCAGGUUGUGAUUGUCCCCUGGGCUUUUUUGGAGAUUUGGGGAAUGAGUGAAUCUGGACCUGAGUUCAACCUAAUGGUGUAUCAGGUAUACCUAUCAUAUCUGAUCUUUUGUGAUCAGUCUCCAGAGUGGUGGUUCUCAAACUUGAGUCUGCAUGAGCAUCGCCUGAAGGACUUAUCAGACCACCGCUUCAGUGGGCCCUCCCCAGUUUCUGGUUCAGGCUGAUGUGGGUGAGGCCUGAUGAUUUGCAAGUCCAACAGAUUCUCAGAUGAUGCUUAUCCUGUUGGACUAAGAGAACUUUCUCAAAGCCUCUUGGAAAUACCAAUCUCUGUCUAUGGGCAGAUGAGAUUGCCAUUUACUGAACACUUGAUCAGCCACCUCUGCCUGCUAGUAACUGAGUUGCCGGUGGAAAAGAGGUACUGACCCUGACAGCUCAUGUGGAAAAAGAAGAGAAUUCUCCCUUUUCACCUUUCCAUCACAGGGUCACAUAUAAUGUGUAAAGGAAGAAGACAACGGGCCACAUCUGUGGCGAGGCAGGUACUGUGCUUCACCCCAUAGACAAAUACCACCUCUCUUCCCCUGAAUUCCUUUAGUUGGAAUAGGGCUACUUGUAUUUGGGAAUUCACUCUCCCAUAGGAUGACCAACCUUCCCAGUCUGUCCAGCCUUCCCAGUGCUAAAACUUAGCGUUAUGGGAAAACAGAGAUACUGUUCACCCUACCUCCCCUUUGGUUUAGCAGAAGUUACAUCAAGAGGA
Nyctereutes procyonoides (raccoon dog) is the source of this 3863-nucleotide long non-coding RNA. RefSeq lists it as uncharacterized. The record is from RefSeq and is a predicted model, not a curated record. NCBI's taxonomy places the organism in Eukaryota, Metazoa, Chordata, Mammalia, Carnivora, Canidae. The transcript has 3 exons.